UCAGAGGGAGGUAGAAUUNCACGUGUAGCAGUGAAAUGCGUAGAGAUGUGGAGGAAUACCGAUGGCGAAGGCAGCCUCCUGGGAUAACACUGACGUUCAUGCUCGAAAGCGUGGGUAGCAAACAGGAUUAGAUACCCUGGUAGUCCACGCCCUAAACGAUGUCAAUUAGCUGUUGGGCAACUUGAUUGCUUAGUAGCGUAGCUAACGCGUGAAAUUGACCGCCUGGGGAGUACGGUCGCAAGAUUUAAACUCAAAGGAAUUGACGGGGACCCGCACAAGCGGUGGAUGAUGUGGAUUAAUUCGAUGCAACGCGAAGAACCUUACCUGGUCUUGACAUGUACGGAAUCCUCCAGAGACGGAGGAGUGCCUUCGGGAGCCGUAACACAGGUGCUGCAUGGCUGUCGUCAGCUCGUGUCGUGAGAUGUUGGGUUAAGUCCCGCAACGAGCGCAACCCUUGCCAUUAGUUGCCAUCAUUAAGUUGGGCACUCUAAUGAGACUGCCGGUGACAAGCCGGAGGAAGGUGGGGAUGACGUCAAGUCCUCAUGGCCCUUAUGACCAGGGCUUCACACGUCAUACAAUGGUCGGUACAGAGGGUAGCCAAGCCGCGAGGCGGAGCCAAUCUCACAAAACCGAUCGUAGUCCGGAUUGCACUCUGCAAUUCGAGUGCAUGAAGUCGGAAUCGCUAGUAAUCGCAGGUCAGCAUACUGCGGCGAAUACGUUCCCGGGUCUUG
Molecule: ribosomal RNA, 731 nt
Filed under: uncultured bacterium
Lineage: Bacteria
Description: bacterial SSU rRNA
Rfam family: Bacterial small subunit ribosomal RNA
Source: RNAcentral